Molecule: non-coding RNA, 182 nt
Filed under: Anaerohalosphaera lusitana
Lineage: Bacteria; Pseudomonadati; Planctomycetota; Phycisphaerae; Sedimentisphaerales; Anaerohalosphaeraceae
Description: Phycisphaerae bacterium ST-NAGAB-D1 6S / SsrS RNA
Rfam family: 6S / SsrS RNA
About the family: E. coli 6S RNA was the first non coding RNA to be sequenced, but its function was unknown until recently. It consists of 184 nucleotides that fold into an extended hairpin structure with a large single-stranded internal bulge.
Source: Rfam by way of RNAcentral
UAACCCCUGCGGUGUUCGUAGAGACGUAGUAUUGAAAGAACCGAUGCCACCCUUAGGGGAAGCCAGACCUGAAGGACUGCACAUGCCUGCUUUGACUGGACUUGCAGACUUCAGCAACGGCUGCCCACUUUGUUAAUAAGGGUUCCUUUCAACGUCGUUUUUACGGCACAGGCGGAGGUAUC